AUAACUUUAGUCAUGGAGUUGGAACGUUUGCCUACGUUUGACGCUAGGGGUGCUGUUCCAACUGCAUACAAAUUUGAGUUA
Molecule: microRNA precursor, 81 nt
Filed under: Bombyx mori (domestic silkworm)
Lineage: Eukaryota; Metazoa; Arthropoda; Insecta; Lepidoptera; Bombycidae
Description: mir-2807 microRNA precursor family
Rfam family: mir-2807 microRNA precursor family
Source: Rfam by way of RNAcentral